AGAGUUUGAUCCUGGCUCAGGACGAACGCUGGCGGUGUGCUUCACACAUGCAAGUCGAACGGGGUAGCAAUAUCCAGUGGCGGACGGGUGAGUAACGCGUAGGAAUCUGCCUUUAGGUGGGGGAUAGCAGACCGAAAGGUCUAUUAAUACCGCAUAUGUAUGCACUUAGACAUUUGUGCAUAUGAAAAGAGUAAUCUGCC
Molecule: ribosomal RNA, 200 nt
Filed under: uncultured bacterium
Lineage: Bacteria
Description: partial 16S ribosomal RNA
Rfam family: Bacterial small subunit ribosomal RNA
Source: RNAcentral